CGUUUUCACUGAGAGCUGAAUAAAUGCACCCCCUCCCCCACUCGGACGCAAUAACCCAGCUCAUUGGGUCAAAUCAACUCAGCGCAGGAUCAGCGCAGCGCGGGCUGACUGAAUUCGAGGUGGAGGUGGAUGCCACACACACGCUGUAAUUUUUGGAGAAAUAAGACCUGCUCUUGACUGUCCGUGGUGGCAAACCCACAGCCUUUCGCUCGAGUAGAAUCAACCGUAUCUGAAGAGAGAGCUGAGGAAAUUAAACAAUGACUGAGAAACAACACACAGCCCAUCAGCCAGGUGGAACAGUACAUGCGAAAAAUAUGUUUGAGGUCCUCAUUGAGUUUCCUCGGCUAACUACCCCAGGCAUGGUAUGUUAACA
Carassius carassius (crucian carp) is the source of this 373-nucleotide long non-coding RNA. RefSeq lists it as uncharacterized. The record is from RefSeq and is a predicted model, not a curated record. Lineage: Eukaryota; Metazoa; Chordata; Actinopteri; Cypriniformes; Cyprinidae. The transcript is spliced from 3 exons.